CUCAGUGAUGGAAUUAUCAGUCUCCCCACCAACAAAUCUAUUCAUUGCCAUAUUUGUAAGGAUGUGGUAUUCUUUAUCGAUCUACACCAAGUAUCUGCAACAAGUUACAGACGAACAAGUAUAUGUAGAGUGAGUACAAUUCUACACAUCAACAACAUACUUUACACAUAAAUAUACAUAUAAGUUCAUUGGCACAGGUGCCACCGCAUAUAUAAAUAACAAGUUUUAUGUAUACAAAGAGACACCAAUAUAUUGAAUUUUUACAGUUAACAUUUAAAAAUUAUUCAAACCUCUUCCAAUUUCUUCCAAAGGUCCUUGUCUUGAUAGCAAUAAAGAACAUAUCUGAAUUAUUUUCUGACAACCUCCAUGGUUUAUGCAUCUGUCGUCAUAGUUAUCAUACUUACAUCUCCAAAUUGGAGUUUAGAAUCAAGUAAAUGACC
RNAcentral lists this long non-coding RNA (440 nucleotides) under Medicago truncatula (barrel medic). Its description in RNAcentral is "long non-coding RNA (MTRU_LNC003623)". The record is from RNAcentral. Lineage: Eukaryota; Viridiplantae; Streptophyta; Magnoliopsida; Fabales; Fabaceae.